RNAcentral lists this ribosomal RNA (636 nucleotides) under uncultured bacterium. Its description in RNAcentral is "bacterial SSU rRNA". The stretch from base 1 to 544 matches the Rfam family "Bacterial small subunit ribosomal RNA", at positions 338 to 873 of the family's 1533-position model. The record is from RNAcentral.
CCUACGGGAGGCAGCAGUAGGGAAUCUUCCACAAUGGGCGAAAGCCUGAUGGAGCAACGCCGCGUGAGUGAUGAAGGCCUUCGGGUUGUAAAACUCUGUCAUUCGGGACGAACCGGAGUCUGAGGAAAUGCAGACUCUCUGACGGUACCGGAGGAGGAAGCCCCGGCUAACUACGUGCCAGCAGCCGCGGUAAUACGUAGGGGGCAAGCGUUGUCCGGAUUCACUGGGCGUAAAGCGCGCGCAGGCGGUGAUGUAAGUCUGAGGUGAAAACCCGAAGCUCAACUUCGGGACUGCCUUGGAUACUGCGUCGCUUGAGGAUAGGAGAGGCAAGGGGAAUUCCACGUGUAGCGGUGAAAUGCGUAGAGAUGUGGAGGAACACCUGUGGCGAAGGCGCCUUGCUGGCCUAUUUCUGACGCUGAGGCGCGAAAGCGUGGGGAGCAAACAGGAUUAGAUACCCUGGUAGUCCACGCUGUAAACGAUGAGUGCUAGGUGUAGGUGGGCUCAUACCCAUCUGUGCCGAAGCUAACGCAUUAAGCACUCCGCCCUGGGGGAGGUACGGUCGCGAGACGUAGAACGUUAAAGUAGAAGUUAGACGGCGUUGAGACGNGCCGACGGACGACGACGAGGGAGGUUAGG